RNAcentral lists this ribosomal RNA (402 nucleotides) under uncultured bacterium. Its description in RNAcentral is "bacterial SSU rRNA". It matches the Rfam family "Bacterial small subunit ribosomal RNA", at positions 355 to 773 of the family's 1533-position model. The record is from RNAcentral.
UAAGGGAUAUUGCCCAAUGGACGGAAGUCUGAGGCAGCAACGCCGCGUGCGGGAGGACGGCCUUCGGGUUGUAAACCGCUUUUGGAGGGGAAGAGGGAGGACGGUACCCUUCGAAGAAGUCUCGGCUAACUACGUGCCAGCAGCCGCGGUAAAACGUAGGAGGCGAGCGUUAUCCGGAUUUACUGGGUGUAAAGCGCGUGCAGGCGGCGGCGCAAGUCGUGUGUGAAAGCUCCCGGCUCAACCGGGAGAGGACGGACGAGACUGAGCUGCUAGAGGCAGGUAGAGGUGUGUGGAAUUCCGGGUGUAGUGGUGAAAUGCGUAGAGAUCCGGAGGAACACCAGUGGCGAAGGCGGCACACUGGGCCUGGCCUGACGCUCAGACGCGAAAGCAUGGGGAGCGAAC